GCCUCCCUUGAAGAGCCCACGCCCCCUCUUUCUCUUCUCCCUUAGAGAUCUAAUGCCCAAGCUUGGGCGUCCUCCAUUUUCAAUGCCCAAAGGUGUUUGGGCAUCUCCUAUUGCUUGCUGGUUUCUAGUCACUGGUUGCUGCAUAAUCUAAGGAAGAAAAGCAAGAGAAGAAAAGAAGAAGAAGAUCAAGAAAAGGAUCAAAGAGUUGAUCGUGAUCUAGGCUUCAUUCAGAUUCGCAGACUGAUUUUUUCUUAGAGAAGAAAAAAUCAAUAUCAAAAAGGGCUAUUCCAAGCUGAUCCUGAGUGGAUACCUGUAG
RNAcentral lists this long non-coding RNA (316 nucleotides) under Elaeis guineensis (African oil palm). RNAcentral's name for it is "long non-coding RNA (EGUI_LNC072583)". The record is from RNAcentral. Lineage: Eukaryota; Viridiplantae; Streptophyta; Magnoliopsida; Arecales; Arecaceae.